UGGGCACCCCGCAGGUGAGGACCCUCUGG
This 29-nucleotide non-coding RNA is filed under the name Cricetulus griseus (Chinese hamster). Lineage: Eukaryota; Metazoa; Chordata; Mammalia; Rodentia; Cricetidae. The record is from RNAcentral.